RNAcentral lists this ribosomal RNA (486 nucleotides) under uncultured bacterium. RNAcentral's name for it is "bacterial SSU rRNA". It matches the Rfam family "Bacterial small subunit ribosomal RNA", at positions 28 to 507 of the family's 1533-position model. The record is from RNAcentral.
GAUGAACGCUAGCGACAGGCUUAACACAUGCAAGGUCGAGGGGCAGCGCGGGAUAGCAAUAUCCUGGCGGCGACCGGCGGAAGGGUGCGUAACGCGUGAGCGACAUGCCCGUUGCCCGGGGACAGCCGGUGGAAACGCCGACUAAUCCCCGAUGGGAUAUUGUGCCGCAUGGCACGAUAUUGAAAGUUACGGCGGCGACGGAUUGGCUCGCGUCCGAUUAGCUGGUUGGCGGGGUAACGGCCCACCGUGGCGACGAUCGGUAGGGGUUCUGAGAGGAAGGUCCCCCACAUUGGAACUGAGACACGGUCCAAACUCCUACGGGAGGCAGCAGUGAGGAAUAUUGGUCAAUGGACGGGAGUCUGAACCAGCCAAGUAGCGUGCAGGAUGACGGCCCUAUGGGUUGUAAACUGCUUUUGUGCGGGGAUAAAGUGUGGGACGUGUCCCAUAUUGCAGGUACCGCAUGAAUAAGGACCGGCUAAUUCCGUG